AAUAAACCAAUUUUUCACUUUUUACCUAUAAUUUUGACUCUUCGUCUUAUUCAAAUUUUUUUGUGAUUGAUAUUUUUGUUUUUAUUAGAUGAUAAAUCAUGAGUAGUACUUUACGUGUAACUAAUUUUUUCUAUUUUUCUAAAGAUUUUUUAAAUAAGACGGAUGAUCAAACGUUAGACACAGAAACCGGAG
This 192-nucleotide microRNA precursor is filed under the name Oryza brachyantha (malo sina). Its description in RNAcentral is "MIR812 microRNA precursor family". It matches the Rfam family "MIR812 microRNA precursor family". The record is from Rfam by way of RNAcentral. Lineage: Eukaryota; Viridiplantae; Streptophyta; Magnoliopsida; Poales; Poaceae.